CUACGGGCGGCUGCAGUGGGGAAUAUUGGACAAUGGGGGAAACCCUGAUCCAGCAAUGCCGCGUGUGUGAAGAAGGCCUGCGGGUUGUAAAGCACUUUCGGUUGGGAGGACUGCUUCUAGCACUAAUAUUGUUGGAAGUUGACGUUACCUUCAGAAGAAGCACCGGCUAACUCCGUGCCAGCAGGCCGCGGUAAUACGGAGGGUGCAAGCGUUAAUCGGAAUUACUGGGCGUAAAGCGCGCGUAGGCGGCUAGAUCAGUCGGGUGUGAAAGCCCCGGGCUUAACCUGGGAACUGCAUCCGAUACUGUCUAGCUUGAGUACAGGAGAGGAGAGUGGAAUUCCACAUGCAGCGGUGAAAUGCGUAGAUAUGUGGGGGAACACCAAUGGCGAAGGCAGCUCUCUGGCCUGAUACUGACGCUGAGGUGCGAAAGCGUGGGGAUCAAACAGGAUUAGAUACCCUUGUAGUC
This 466-nucleotide ribosomal RNA is filed under the name uncultured bacterium. RNAcentral describes it as "partial 16S ribosomal RNA". It matches the Rfam family "Bacterial small subunit ribosomal RNA", at positions 339 to 795 of the family's 1533-position model. The record is from RNAcentral.